This is an RNA transcript of Gadus macrocephalus (Pacific cod), 6108 nucleotides long. It is a transcript of the gene named BAR/IMD domain containing adaptor protein 2a, with no coding region annotated. The transcript has 15 exons. The record is from RefSeq and is a predicted model, not a curated record. NCBI's taxonomy places the organism in Eukaryota, Metazoa, Chordata, Actinopteri, Gadiformes, Gadidae.
CUCCAGUCAGUGGCGGCGAGGGGUGCGUUCAUUGUGAGCAGGUUUUCAGAGACCUGCCUGCCUGGGUGCCGCCGCCGUUCUCUCAGUCGUGUGUUCACCUCGUUCAGUCCAGUGUUGCUGUCAUCCGUUUACCCAGUUUAUACAUUAUACCUGGAUACCUUUUUGGUCAAGGAAAAUACAGUUAAUGGUUUUGCCUGAAGAAUCCAAGAUGUCUCGCACCGACGAGGUUCACCGCAUCACGGAGAAUGUCUACAAGACUAUCAUGGAGCAGUUCAACCCUUGUUUACGGAACUUCGUUGCCAUGGGGAAGAGCUACGAGAAGGCGCUUGCCACUGUGACAUUUGCUGCCAAAGGCUACUUUGAUGCCCUGGUCAGGAUGGGCGAGCUGGCCAGCGAGAGCCAUGGCUCCAAAGAUCUGGGGGACGUGCUGUUCCAGAUGGCUGAGGUCCACAGGCAGAUCCAGGUCCAGUUGGAGGACAUGCUCAAGUCCUUCCACAACGAGCUGCUGUCCGAGCUGGAGAAGAAGGUGGAGCUGGACGCACGCUAUCUGACCGCGGCGCUGAAGAAGUACCAGAUGGAGCACAAGAGCAAAGGGGAGAGUCUGGAGAAGUGCCAGGCGGAGCUGAAGAAGCUGCGCAGGAAGAGCCAGGGCAGCAAGAACCCGGCCAAGUACGGGGAGAAGGAGAUGCAGUUUGUGGAGACCAUCAGCAGCAAGCAGAGCGAACUGGAUACCUUCAUCGCCGAGGGCUACAAGACGGCGCUGUCCGAGGAGCGCCGCCGGUACUGCUUCCUGGUCGACCGCCAGUGCGCCGUGGCCAAGAACAGCAGCGCCUACCAUGGAAAGGGUAAGGACCUGUUGACCCAGAAGAUCCCCAUGUGGCAGCAGGCGUGCUCGGACCCCAACAAGCUGCCGGAGCGUGCCAUGCUCCUGGCCCAGCAGAUGGGCUCGGUGGGCGGAGCCAGCCCCCUGCACACCUCCAAGUCCAACCUGGUGAUCUCGGACCCCAUCCCGGGGGCCCAGCCGCUCCCCGUGCCCCCCGAGCUGGCCGUGUUCAUGGGCAGCGGCCUGGGACAUCAGGCGAGGCUGAUGGGCCCUGAGGGCAUGGCCAUGGUGAACGGCACGACGGGCGUCCACGGGGACGACUACUGGACGGAGGGCGGCGGCGGCGGCGGGAGCGCGGGCCCGGUCCAGGGGGGACCCCCGUCCCCCCAGGGCCCCCCCCAGGGCCAGCCCCAGAGGCAGGUCAGCGAGGUGUACUCCAACACCCUGCCCGUCCGUAGGCCCGCCCCGGCCAAGAGCAAGAACCCAGUGGGAGAGACGAGGACCCUCCCCCGCUCCAGCUCCAUGGCGGCCGGCCUGGAGAGGAACGGGCGCUCCCGCGUGCAGGCCAUCUUCUCGCACGCCGCCGGGGACAACGGCACCCUGCUGAGCUUCGCCGAGGGCGACCUCAUCACCCUGCUGGUGCCCGAGGCCCGGGACGGCUGGCACUACGGCGAGAACGAGAAGAACAAGAUGCGUGGCUGGUUCCCCUUCUCCUACACGCGCGUUCUGCCCGAAACGGAGAACGAGAAGCUCAAAGUCAACCUCAACCACGGGAAGAGCAGCAGCACAGGGAACCUCCUGGAGAGCGACAUGCCCAUGCCGGACUACGGCCUCACCGCCCGCCUGCUGGCCCAGAGUCUAGCACAGAGCCGGCCCAGGCCCUACAGCAUGGCAGGCUUCACCACGCAGCCGGCCAUCGAGGACUAUGACAGCCGCUUUGCCACGAGCGACAGUCCUGAUGGCAAAUUGAUUUCGACUGUGUGAGAACAGACAUACAGACAGACACAGGAAAACGCUUCGGAAUAGCACAGGGGCCCUUCUUCCAAAAACCUGCCCCCCCCCCCCCCCCACCCCUCCCUCCUUCACCCCUUCACCCCCCACCCCGACAUCCACCUAGCCUACCACCUUUCCUGUCCUCUCCUGCUCCUCUUCCUCCUCCUCUGCCUCCUCUUCCUCUUCUCUGCCCCCUCCCCUUCUCUUGCUCCCGCUUCCACACCCCUCACCCCUUUCCCUCCCGUGGAAGAGGCCGGUCUCAUCCAUCCGUUCUGUCCCUCUCUUCCUUCCUUCCUCCUUCCCGGGCUCCCAUCUCUGCCUCCCUCCGUCCCGUCCGCCCAUCCACCCCUCCGUCCUGUUCUCCGGGGGUGUCGGCCCGUCGGUGGUGGUGGUGGUGGUGGUGUCGUUGUGAGGACAGUAGCGGUUGGUGGGUGGAGGAUUGCCCGGAGAGCUCGGGCCCUGGCGGGGCCUACCGGCUCCCAGAGGGCAUGGCCCCCAGCGGGGCCUACCUGCUGGCCCUGCAGCAGCGAUACGGACUCUGAAUGCCCCGCUAGUCUCGCGGUCCCCCAACCGAGCAUUGGACUUGACCCGGUUUUAGUUUUUGUUUUUCAUCUCCUACUUCUUCUUCUUCUACGUCUUCUUCUUCUCUCAAAAGACUGCCUUUGCUACUGCUUGUCUUUUCAUGCAUGUACAUGGUUGUGUCAUUUUGUUAAGAAAAUAACAAAAACUAACAAAAACGGAAAACUAAACUGACAUUUUCAUGUACUGUACAAGUGCCAAAAGACGUAAUUGUCGUUGUUCUGAUGCCACACGCAUACACAGACACACGUGCAUACACAGGCACACUCAUACAAAGACAGACGCACAGACACACAACCAUACACACACACACAGACACACUCACACACACACACACACGUGGACUUGUUUACAAUAAGGCUGUGCAGCAGAUUACUGUGUUGGAUUCUGUUGGUCGUGCACUGUUCUGUGUGUCUUCGCUGAGCUGAUUUGAAUAUCCAGCAGGGCGCAUAGUGUGUGUGUCAAAUCUGCCUUAGGAGUUAUAUUCAACACACCAAAUUGUCCUGUAUCCGAAAUAUUUUUGUAAUGUAUGAGGGGAGGGAGGAAGAAAUAUUAAGUAACAUUCUAUAUUAAAAAAAGUUUACCCUUUUUUUAUUUUAUCCGUCCUACCGAAUCCUCAAUCUCUUCUGGCCUGAGCUUGCAUGUUUCCUCGUCUUGUGUGGUCUUUUGCCCACGUUGAAAGACAUAGUAUGGUAGGCUGAGACUCUGGCACUGGCCUUCCCGAUGUCAAUCAAAAAAGACCAACUUACCGUAUUUAAAUGAACAGGCAGUUAGGGCUACUGCCUGCCGUUGGUCUAAUUUGGAAUAUUUUUCUGGAUAGUAUUUUUGAGUAUUUAUCCAAUCAAUUUUUAAUAUUCCAUGUGGCGAUUCCUGGUGAAAUAAGAUUCCGGUCUUCAAAUUAAUGAUGUAAAAAAAAAAAAAAAAGAUCUCAAAGAUGCAGGGGGAUGGGGGGGUCAAUUUGAGACAUCCACUUUCAACUGCGCUUAAAUUGCUUUCAUCAUAAUUCUGUUUAUGUACAUGCCCCGCGCAUAAUGGACCAUGUGAGCCUUUUUAGUGGAAAAAAAAACACUCAAAUUAAAGUUAGGUGGUUUUCACACAAAAACAGUGUUGCAAUUGUAUUCCCUGAGUGGCUAUGUAGUUUUUAGUCUUUCCUUUAAAGAAGUUGUUAUUGUCCUUGUAAAACGGCAAAAUAUUCCAGAAACAAAAAGAAAAUGCUGAUUUUCGUUGAAAGUGUUCAUCUUAUGCAUGCUGUUGAGGGAUCUCAUGUGGUACACAAAAUUGACCUUGAAUGUAUGGUGACUUUUUACAAAGGUAUUCUAAAUAAAACAUAUAUCUAUAUAUUAAUAAACAGUCUUGUCUGGAGAGAAAUCUGUUCUGUCGGUUAUCUGGCCUCCCUUUCUUUCUUUAAAAAUCACAUUCUGCGAUUUUUAUUAUCCUUUCCGGCCGCAUUGUGGACUGCUUCUUGCCAAGCAUGCACUGUGUUCAAUCGCUGCAUGCCAUCCAUAGGCAUGACCCUCCAUAGCCACGCCCACCACUUCCUGGUUCUUCCUACCUUGCCCCGCCUACCCCUUGCCUGGCCCCGCCCACCAGUGCUUCUUGGCUCCUCCCUCAUCUUCAUUGUGUGUGUAUGGUUUUCUGUUGAGUCGCUGCCGUUUGCUGCCUUGCUGCAUUGUGCGACUGCCUUGUGUUGCUAGGAUUGCGGUGGGUUGUGUAAAAGAAUGAUCUAGUCUGCGUUUGUGGUGAUCGUUCAAGCGAGGAUUUGUAAUCGUUUUGUGUGUGUGUGUGUUGUUGAUGCUUUAGUGGAAUUUCGGCCGACCAGAGUCUCUGUUCUGAUCUUCUUGUUGAACUUCUUCAAAGGUCUAGCUGCGUAUACAUUUGAAUGUUUUGUAUUUUAAAGCUUUAUCGUUAAGAGUUUAUACGGUCUAAGGCAUGAUGAGCAUGCUGUGUACUGCCAUCCCGUCAUUUCACAUCUUCCAGUUUGUACACCUUCCCGCAAACUAACCAGCAGUGGCUACGUGCAUUGUAAGAGUUGUGAGCCAUGCAUGAUCCUGAUGAAAGAUGAGCGAUUCAAACCGAAGGGUUCUCUUUACCUUCCAGUUUGGGUCCAGAAUUGUCCCAGUUCUGAGAGAACAGGACCUCCCGACCGCUCUCUGGAGGUCUACCUCAGGCCUACCUUUAUGGAGGACCGCUCUGCGCCCAUCUUCUACUAGCAGACGGCCACGCACCCCCGACCUUACCGCUCAAAGGGUCGGCCUCCGUACAUGAGGGGGAAGAAAAUGGCCGCCGCCAUCGGUUGGGUGCCAGUUCUGAUGACCGGCUCCCGGAAAAAAAAAGUUGACACUGGUACCUUGGGGGCAACGAUCUUAAAGUGACACUCACAAGUUUUUUGUUUUUUUUCUCCACACUGCAUAGCAUUCAAGUAGGCGGCUUUGGGCAACCCCGGCCGUUUAUCGUGCGUGCGUUAUCAUUGUGACGCUUUGCAAAUCACUUCAGGGCGGCAGGUUAACACUGAUUUAUGUGGUCAACUCUUGGCUGAAACGUUAGAGUCAGCGAAUCAGGAGGUUGUUUUCAUUGGCUAGUGGGUCGCACUCACGAUGGGAAACGUGGGGCGAAAGCCUCGCGUCGGGGACAUUUACACUGAUGGAGGAUAGUGAAACUAAUAUAUACUCUCUGCGCAUCGCUGCUGUGGAAAAUGUCUAUUAAUUGUGAUUUGAGAAUUGUAUGCGUGUGUGCGUAUGUGUGUGUGUAUAUAUAUGUAUAUAUCGUUUAAGAUUUAGGCAGUGAUGGUGCUCUCUAAACAAGGUGUCCGUCAGUUGCUUGAAGAGCAGGUUGUCUGAAAUUAGCGUUAGGCUGCGAAAAGAUACAGCACUGGGUAAAUGUGUUUUUUGAAAGGUGCAUUGAAAGUGUGCAAUGGCUACAGUUAGAUCCUGUUUUUUUUUUUAAACGCUAGUUUCUAGCUCAGAACACAUGUUAUAGUAACUAUACAGUAUACCAUUAAACUAUACCGUUUAAUUUGGGGACUGUGCCUUCAUUUUUUUAAAGGGGUUACAGCCUUGAUAUAAUCAAUAUUCUACGCACUGUUAUAUGAAAAUGAUUACGCAUCACAACUCUGCUUGUAUACUUUAUUUGGUUUAUGCUGUUACUUUGCCGUUUUGUUUUGUCUUCUGGUGAUCUUUAAUAAUCUAAAGUGCGUGACUGCAAUGUAAGUUGCUGUGAAAAAAAAAAGGCAGCAUCACUUUUGCCGAUAUAAGAAUAUAAUGAAUUGUCUUUUAUGUUAAUUCAAAGCAGCCAAAUAUUGGCCCGUCAAAAAUCCAUGUAAAUAAUGGGUCAUUUUGGAGUAUCAUUUUCAGCUUUAAUUAGAGUGGUAUCUUAUUGAUUCAUAUGAUUCAACUAUCAUAAUAUUGUCUUAUAAUAUGAUCACAUUGUUUUACUGUGAGCUGACUUAUUGCUUCAAGUGCAAAUAAUCACCAGUAACAAUCAAGACAAUGUAUAUUUUAAACAACUUGCAUACUGGCAACUGUAUGGGGAGACGAUUGUUCGCGCGUUGCAAUCACGUUCUCAGAAAUGUCCAAUUGCUUUGGUUAUCAAACCGUUUUCUAAUGUUUGUCCUUUUCUCACUUUUUGUUCUUUCUUGUUCUGUAUAUUUGUGUUGUACAGGGCGUGCGGUACGUGGAGUUAUUGUGUCAAAUAAAAACUUCAUUGUGUACAGCAUU